Molecule: ribosomal RNA, 334 nt
Filed under: uncultured eukaryote
Lineage: Eukaryota
Description: partial 18S ribosomal RNA
Rfam family: Eukaryotic small subunit ribosomal RNA
Source: RNAcentral
CCCUUAGAUGUCCGGGGCCGCACGCGCGCUACACUGAAGGAAUCAGCGUGGCUUUCUCCCUGACCCGAAAGGGUUGGGAAACCCGUUGAAUCUCCUUCGUGAUAGGGAUUGGGGCUUGAAAUUGUUCCCCAUGAACGAGGAAUUCCCAGUAAGCGCGAGUCAUAAGCUCGCGUUGAUUACGUCCCUGCCCUUUGUACACACCGCCCGUCGCUACUACCGAUUGAACGGUUUAGUGAGGGCCUCGGAUUGGUCUCGGCCCGCUCUUUACCGGGCGACGCCGUUGGUCGAGAAGACGCUCGAACUUGAUCGUUUAGAGGAAGUAAAAGUCGUAACA